GACGAACGCUGGCGGCGUGCUUAACACAUGCAAGUCGAACGGAAAGGCCCUGCUUUUGUGGGGUGCUCGAGUGGCGAACGGGUGAGUAACACGUGAGUAACCUGCCCUUGACUUUGGGAUAACUUCAGGAAACUGGGGCUAAUACCGGAUAGGAGCUCCUGCUGCAUGGUGGGGGUUGGAAAGUUUCGGCGGUUGGGGAUGGACUCGCGGCUUAUCAGCUUGUUGGUGGGGUAGUGGCUUACCAAGGCUUUGACGGGUAGCCGGCCUGAGAGGGUGACCGACCACAUUGGGACUGAGAUACGGCCCAGACUCCUACGGGAGGCAGCAGUGGGGAAUAUUGCACAAUGGGCGGAAGCCUGAUGCAGCAACGCCGCGUGCGGGAUGACGGCCUUCGGGUUGUAAACCGCUUUCGCCUGUGACGAAGCGUGAGUGACGGUAAUGGGUAAAGAAGCACCGGCUAACUACGU
Molecule: ribosomal RNA, 467 nt
Filed under: uncultured bacterium
Lineage: Bacteria
Description: partial 16S ribosomal RNA
Rfam family: Bacterial small subunit ribosomal RNA
Source: RNAcentral